UAGGGAAUCUUCCACAAUGGACGAAAGUCUGAUGGAGCAACGCCGCGUGAGNGAAGAAGGGUUUCGGCUCGUAAAACUCUGUUGUUAAAGAAGAACAUAUCUGAGAGUAACUGUUCAGGUAUUGACGGUAUUUAACCAGAAAGCCACGGCUAACUACGUGCCAA
Molecule: ribosomal RNA, 164 nt
Filed under: uncultured bacterium
Lineage: Bacteria
Description: partial 16S rRNA
Rfam family: Bacterial small subunit ribosomal RNA
Source: RNAcentral